This 253-nucleotide ribosomal RNA is filed under the name uncultured bacterium. RNAcentral's name for it is "partial 16S ribosomal RNA". It matches the Rfam family "Bacterial small subunit ribosomal RNA", at positions 524 to 776 of the family's 1533-position model. The record is from RNAcentral.
UACGAGAGGCCCAAACGUUAUUCGGAAUUACUGGGCUUAAAGAGUUCGUAGGCGGCAUGAAAAGUAGGGUGUGAAAGCCCUCGGCUCAACCGAGGAAUUGCGCUCUAAACUAUCGUGCUCGAGGAAUCUAGAGGUGAGCGGAACUGAUGGUGGAGCGGUGAAAUGCGUUGAUAUCACCAGGAACACCGGAGGCGAAGGCGGCUCACUGGGGAUUUUCUGACGCUGAGGAACGAAAGCCAGGGGAGCGAACGGG